Molecule: ribosomal RNA, 253 nt
Filed under: uncultured bacterium
Lineage: Bacteria
Description: partial 16S ribosomal RNA
Rfam family: Bacterial small subunit ribosomal RNA
Source: RNAcentral
GACAGAGGGUGCAAACGUUGUUCGGAAUUACUGGGCGUAAAGCGCGUGUAGGCAGCUCUGCAAGUCGGACGUGAAAUCCCUCGGCUCAACCGGGGAACUGCGUCCGAUACUGGUUGGCUUGAAUUCGGGAGAGGGAUGCGGAAUUCCAGGUGUAGCGGUGAAAUGCGUAGAUAUCUGGAGGAACACCGGUGGCGAAGGCGGCAUCCUGGACCGAGAUUGACGCUGAUGCGCGAAAGCCAGGGGAGCAAACGGG